RNAcentral lists this transfer RNA (85 nucleotides) under Felis catus (domestic cat). It matches the Rfam family "tRNA". From Rfam's summary of the family: Transfer RNA (tRNA) molecules are approximately 80 nucleotides in length. Their secondary structure includes four short double-helical elements and three loops (D, anti-codon, and T loops). The record is from Rfam by way of RNAcentral. Lineage: Eukaryota; Metazoa; Chordata; Mammalia; Carnivora; Felidae. RNAcentral also lists the same sequence under 1 other name.
GCCUGGGUGGCUCAGUCGGUGAAGCGUCUGACUUCAGCUCAGGUCAUGAUCUUGCAGUUCAUGGGUUCGAGCCCCGUGUCAGGCU